This 3615-nucleotide long non-coding RNA is filed under the name Homo sapiens (human). Its description in RNAcentral is "HSALNT0340702". Lineage: Eukaryota; Metazoa; Chordata; Mammalia; Primates; Hominidae. The record is from RNAcentral.
GUGAGCAGGUCAGCCCCGCGCUGGUCAGCUCUUCACUGACUCCCUCCACUGCAGAUCUGGAAGUGUGGGUGCUGUACUCAGACAGGAAUGUCAUCAAGCCGAAGAGCACCUUCUACUGGAGUUCAGAUGAGGUCAGGAAGUGGCUAAGAAGAGAUCCAUGAAGAUUAACAUUCAGUGCUCAAUUUCUGAAGGAAACAGGGAGUGAAAGGCCGUGGAAGAAAACAGGGCUGCCACGAACAUGCUCUUGGCUGUUUGAAAAGAUCCAGCGCAGCUUGAACUUCAAAAAUAACUCCAUUCACUAUGGUUGCAGUUGGGCUUGGGGAAUUUCUCACAAUCAAAAGCAGCUGCUUCAUCUCAUUUAGCCAUUAGGCUGAGCUCCACAGGCUCGCUGCAGGAUCUUAGAGCCUACAAGGCCCUGCUAAGAGUAGCCGCGUUUUCCAGCAUGCAGUAGAUCAGCGAGUGUUUACAUUUGUGUUUGGAAUGCUCAUGAGUCCUUUGGGGCAAAGACUGAGUCAUUAAUCAGAGCUUUCUAUGAACGUAUUGCUGCCCAAGCCUCUGUGAAUGUGAGUACGGCCUUGUCCCCUGAGUGACGCUGAAAGAGAGUGAAGCACAUGUGCUCCAUAGGACUGCCACGGCCACCCCUCUCAUUCACUUUUCCAUUCAGCGCUGAGACUAAGUUUAACUCAUUUUUCUUUUGUUGUGAAAAGAGAAUGCACACAAAAAUUCAAAUGUUACCAAAUCGAUAUCAGGUUGGAAGCUGAUUCCCCUUGCCUGAGUCCGGGCUGUGUUUGGCGAUACUUGUAAAGAAUGGAAUCUGGCUGAGGUGGAGGUGUGUGACUUUGAGGACUAGGUCCAAAGAAGGCAUUGUGGUUUCCAUCUUGACUGCUCUUUCCCUUGGAUAGCUGACUCUUAGGGAAGCCACAUGCCACACCAUGAGCAGCUCUGCGGAGAGACCCAUGCAGCAAGGAAAUGAGGCUUCCAGUCAAGAGCUGCAUGACUGAAUGAACUUGUUACCAAAACACCAGGGGUUUGGUCCAGGUCCUUCUGCUCACCGCAUGGAAAGCUCAUCACUGAGAUGACAAGUAUUGCCAAGGAAGGAUUUAAUCAGGUGCUGCAACCGAGGAGAUGGGAGCUCAGUCUCAAAUCCAUCUUGCUGACCUACUAAAACGAGGGAUUUGUAUAGCAGGGAAGAAAUGAAACAAUGUGUAAGAAAACAGCAACUAGGGAGGGGCACGGAAGCAAUCAUGAUGAAUGAGGGGGCAGCAUCUCAUUGUCUGAAUGCGGUGAUCUGGUGAGUUUCAGUUCUUUGGUACUUUUCUUGAGAGGCCUGAAGUUAGUUUCCUGAGGAAGGAACUCAAGUAAAACAAAUGUAAAUUUCAAGCCAGAAGGGUGAAUUUCUAUGUUUAUCCGAAAAACUGUCUAUGGGACUAUUGGGUCAGUUUCAAACUUGGAAGCAAUUCUCCAGCCCCAGUUGAGGCUUUAGAGAAGUCAGUGCCAGCCCACAGCCUGACUGCAACCCCUGGAGAGAAUCUGAGCUGGAACCACCCAGCUAAGCCUGGUCUGAGUUUCUGCCCCACUGAAACCAAAUAAUACAUUUGGUUGCUUUCAGCUCCUAAGUGACAGGGACACUUAACCGUCAUGAGGCAAUGUAUAACUGAUACCCUACUCUACAUGAAAAAAUCCCAUAAAUACAGAGUCACGUGCUGCAUAAUGACUUUUCAGUCAAUGAUGGACUGCAUCAAUAAUGGUGGUCCCAUAAUAUAAUGGAGCUGAAAAACUCCUAUUGAGAGGUGACAGUGUGCUGGUAGUCCUCAGAGCCCUCGCUUACUCUUGGCACCUCCUCUGCCUGGGCUCCCACUUUGGCAGCAUUUGAGGAGCCCUUCAGCCCACCACUGCACUGUGGGAGCCCCUUUCUGGGCUGGCCAAGGCUGGAGCCCACUCCCUCAGCUUGCAGGGAGGUGUGGAGGGAGAGGCGCGAGCGGGAACCGGGGCUGCGUGCAGCGCUUGCUGGCCAGCUGGAGUUCCGGGUGGGCGUGGGCUUGGCGGGCCCCGCACCCGGAGCAGCCGGCCGGCCCUGCUGGCCCCGGGCAAUGAGGGACUUAGCACCCGGGCCAGCGGCUGCGGAGGGUGUACUGGGUCCCCCAGCAGUGCCAGCCCACCAGAGCUGCACUCGAUUUCUCGCCAGGCCUUAGCUGCCUUCCCGCGGGGCAGGCCUCGGGACUGCAGCCCACCAUGCCUGAGCCUUCCCCCUCCUCCGUGGAUUCCUGUGCAGCCGGAGCCUCCCCGACGAGCGCCACCCCCUGCUCCAUGGCGCCCAGUCCCAUCGACCGCCUAAGGGCUGAAGAGUGCGGGCGCAAGGCACCGGGACUGGCAGGCAGCUCCACCUGCAGCCCCGGUGCGGGAUCCACUGGGUGAAGCCAGCUGGACUCCUGAGUCUGGUGGGGCCUUGGAGAACUUUUAUGUCUAGCUCAGGGAUUGUAAAUACACCGAUCGGUACUCUGUAUCUAGCUCAAGGUUUGUAAACACACCAAUCAGCACCCUGUGUCUAGCUCAAGGUUUGUGAGUGCACCAAUCGACACUCUGUAUCUAGCUGCUCUGGUGGGGCCUUAGAGAACCUUUGCGUGGAUACUCUGUAUCUAACUAAUCUGAUAGGGACGUGGAGAACCUUUAUAUCUAGCUCAGGGAUUGUAAACGCACCAAUCAGCACCCUGUCAAAACAGACCACUUGGCUCUACCAAUCAGCAGGAUGUGGGUGGGGCCAGAUAAGAGAAUAAAAGCAGGCUGCCGGAGCCAGCAGUGGCAACCCACUGGGGUCUCCUUCCACACUGUGGAAAGUUUGUUCUUUCGCUCUUUGCAAUAAAUCUUGCUGCUGCUCACUUUUUGGGUCCACACUGCUCUUAUGAGCUGUAACACUCACCGCGAAAAUCUGUAGCUUCAUUCCUGAAGCCAGCGAGCCCACGAGCCCACCGGGAAGAACGAACAACUCCAGACGUGCCGCCUUAAGAGCUGUAACACUCACCGCGAAGGUCUGCAGCUUCACUCCUGAGCCAGCGAGACCACUAACCCACCAGAAGGAAGAAACUCCGAACAUCAGAAGGAACAAACUCCAGACGCGCCACCUUAAGAGCUGUAACACUCACUGCGAGGGUCCGCGACUUCAUUCUUGAAGUCAGUGAAACCAAGAAUCCACCAAUUCCGGACACACUAUCACCCAUGAAGAGUAGUUACUGUAACAUUGUAGCACACUGCAUUACUCAGGUGUUUGUGGGGUUGCUGAUGUGAACAAACCUGCAUGGCCAGUUGCAUAAAAGUAUAGCACACACGAUUAUGUACAGCCCAUAAUACGUGAUAGUGAUAAUAAAUGACUGUUACUGGUUUAUGUAUUAUAUGUUUUUUGUUUGUUUGUUUGUUUUUUGACACAAGGUUUGGCUCUGUCACCCUGGCUGGAGUGCAGUGGUGUAAUCUCAGCUCACUGCAACCUCUGCCUCCCAGGCUUAAGCCAUCCUCCCACCUCAGCCUCCUGAGUAGCUGGAAUUACAGGCGGGUGCCAUGGCUAACUUUCGUAUUUUUUGUGGCGACGGGGUUUUGCCAUGUUGCACAGGCUGGUCUUGAACU